GGGCUGUUAGCUCAAUGGUAGAGCAGCGGACUUUUAAUCCGUUGGUUCUGGGUUCGAGUCCCAGACGGCCCACCC
RNAcentral lists this transfer RNA (75 nucleotides) under Myxococcales bacterium. RNAcentral describes it as "tRNA-Lys". It matches the Rfam family "tRNA". From Rfam's summary of the family: Transfer RNA (tRNA) molecules are approximately 80 nucleotides in length. Their secondary structure includes four short double-helical elements and three loops (D, anti-codon, and T loops). Lineage: Bacteria; Pseudomonadati; Myxococcota; Myxococcia; Myxococcales. The record is from RNAcentral.